Long non-coding RNA from Gorilla gorilla gorilla (western lowland gorilla), 1440 nucleotides. RefSeq lists it as uncharacterized. The record is from RefSeq and is a predicted model, not a curated record. NCBI's taxonomy places the organism in Eukaryota, Metazoa, Chordata, Mammalia, Primates, Hominidae. The transcript has 4 exons.
AAUAGGAGUAAGGGUGGUUUUUUUUUUUUGUUUUUUUGUUUGUUUGUUUGUUUUUUUGUUUUUUGUUUUUUGUGGGCCAUGAACACCCAGAGUGGCCCUUGGGCACAAUCCCUUUGUUUCCAGACCUCUAGAAGUCAAGUGGAUUCCCAGUUGAGUCGAGCAAGGGUUUUUUGUUUUGUUUUACAAAGAUAAAAACUUAAGUCUCAUUUAGUGAGACAAUUAACAAGCUCAGGUUUUUGAAAAGGAUAAAAUCUGAGGUCAGGACUUUGAGAUCAACCUGGCCAACAUGGCAAAACCCCAUCUCUACUAAAAGAUAUACAAAUUAGCUGGGCGUGGUGGCACACGCCUGUAAUCUAGCUGCUCGGGGAGGCUGAAGCACAAGAAUUGCUUGAACCCGGGAGACAGAUGUUGCCGUGAGCCGAAAUCACACCACUGUGCUCUAGCCUGGGUGACAGAGUGAGACUCUGUCUCAACAAGAAUAAAAGGAUAAAAUGGCAGAACAUUUUCUGUGCAGAUGCUUUAGUGAUGAAGCCUUUUCAAAGACACCUACUUGAUGCUGAUCUCUAGGAAAUUCUAGAAUACAUUAUUAAACAGAUGUCCUGAGCGCCUUGUACAAGGACCAAUCAUUCGGAUUCAUUAUAAAAGAAACUACAGGAUGUGUGGGAAGACCAGCGACCAAGGGACCCUGGGCCCCAAAUCAGUGGCUGAGUGAGCUGUAUGGCCUCUGGCCCAGCACUUCCCCACUGGGAGCCUUGCCUUCCUUGUUUAGAAGGACGUGUUUAGGAUGGUUUAGAAUGGUGACUAGGUGCUUUUCAAGAUACAUGCACAAAGGACAUUUCAUCUCUGUUCCUCCAUCCAAUGCUGGCUGUUCCUUACCCUGGGCACCACGGUGAGACAGCUAAGUCUCCUGUGUUCUCUCUGGCUGGUCUAGGUACCCAUCCUUGGCACCCCUAUACCUGAGCCUGCCCUCAUCUGACCCUCUCUUCUUCACCAGCCCCAUCGCAAGUAUACCCAGCUUUAUCCUCCACAUCAGGGGCUGAGGUGACAACAUGUCAGUAGGAGGAAUCCUUGCAGGUGAUCUGCUGGAAAAGGAGCACUUCCAGGGAUGCUUCCUCCUGCCACCCAGUGUGCUUCGGUGUCAGCGCCCGCCGCUGCAGAGGUUCUGCAUGCAGGGAACAAACUCCUCUCCCUGUCGGCCUCUGCCUAGCACGCUGUGGAUGGUUCAUCUGCCACACACACAAAGCAGUGCACUGGAAGGAAAGAUCUGGAACGCUGAGCCCAGGGCUUUGCCCCAUCCAGGGCCACUUGGAUACCAUGGAUUUGAGAUGGCAGGGCCACAGAACGCAAUCCACCUGGACCCUGGAGUCCCCAAGGAGCUGCCCUGGAGACCAGCUGGACCCUCAGCAGAAUUUCAGAAAGUUAGAAAUAAAAUUCUGUGUG